UCUUGGUCAUUUAGAGGAAGUAAAAGUCGUAACAAGGUUUCCGUAGGUGAACCUGCGGAAGGAUCAUUAUCGAAAUUAUUGGUGAGGGUUGUAGCUGGCCUUUCGAGGCAUGUGCACGCUCGAACCCUUAAUCCACUUUACACCUGUGCACUUAAUGUAGGUCGCCCUUAAAAAAGGUGACCUAUGUCUUAUCAUCAACCCAUCGUAUGUCUCAUAGAAUGUAAUCGAUAUCCUCGCCCUAAAAAAGCGUUGAUAAACUUAUACAACUUUCAACAACGGAUCUCUUGGCUCUCGCAUCGAUGAAGAACGCAGCGAAAUGCGAUAAGUAAUGUGAAUUGCAGAUUUUCAGUGAAUCAUCGAAUCUUUGAACGCACCUUGCGCUCCUUGGUAUUCCGAGGAGCAUGCCUGUUUGAGUGUCAUUAAAUUCUCAACUCCAAGGGUUUCACGACCUUUCGGAGAUUGGACUUGGAGGUGCUGGCCGCAUAUUGGUCGGCUCCUCUCAAAUGCAUCAGCGGAAUUCAACCUUUGGCUUCCGGAUGUCAGUGUGAUAAUCAUGUUGCGCUGUCGUUUGAUCCCUCAGAGUCCGCUUAUAAUGGUCUUCGGACAAAAUCAUCAUCAAAUUUGACCUCAAAUCAGGUAGGACUACCCGCUGAACUUAAGCAUAUCAAUAAGCGGAGNAAANGGC
RNAcentral lists this ribosomal RNA (685 nucleotides) under uncultured fungus. Its description in RNAcentral is "eukaryotic LSU rRNA". The stretch from base 265 to 419 matches the Rfam family "5.8S ribosomal RNA". The record is from RNAcentral. Lineage: Eukaryota; Fungi.